Non-coding RNA from Paramuricea clavata, 361 nucleotides. The record is from the annotation of a GenBank genome assembly. NCBI's taxonomy places the organism in Eukaryota, Metazoa, Cnidaria, Anthozoa, Malacalcyonacea, Plexauridae.
GUAAAAAUACUUCGUGAAAAAUUCAGUAUUUAUUUUCGUAUACAUAUACCUGCGAACAGGCUGUACUUGAACGUCCAAAAUUUGGCUUCACCCAAACAUAGGCCUUUAUCAUAGGAGUUAUCGUUGCAGUUUACUUGUAGUUCAAUGGGCUGUAUAUGUGAGUUUUUAAAGUGGUACACAGUGUCCCACUUUAAACAGUGUUACCCUAGAAUAGUUCAUCACAUGGUGGUGAACACUGAGAGGAAAGAUUGUUAACACAGUGUAACUAAAUUGUUCACUAUAUGUAUAUUGAUCUUAUGUUUGGUGACAAAUACAUGUACCGGAAACAUUUAGCAUCAUUUGUUUAGCCCGAUAAUUGUCA